This is a long non-coding RNA of Bombus huntii, 717 nucleotides long. RefSeq lists it as uncharacterized. The record is from RefSeq and is a predicted model, not a curated record. The transcript has 4 exons. Lineage: Eukaryota; Metazoa; Arthropoda; Insecta; Hymenoptera; Apidae.
GCAAAUGGACAAAGUGUAUACAGAAAUCGAGUGAUUAUGUCAAAAAAUGAUGUAUGUCUUUUUUGACAAUUGCUUAAAAUAAAUUCUACACCGACAGAGCGGGCUGUUAAUCUAGAGGCUGGAGUACAAAGAAGUGGCACAAUGAUGUGGGCUGAUGACAUUUAUAAUUAUCAAGGAAUCACCCCUACAUUCGCUCAGAAUUUUAAUGAAACUGUCCCUUGGGAAGGAAGAACUGAUACCUUGAUAUCACGGUUUGUACAUCCUAUAUAUACGACAAAUUUUAGAACAUUAUAUAACGAAGAACCAGAUCGUCGUGGCCAUGUGAUGUGAAUAAAAGGACUUGAAUUUGAUGAUAUUUUUAUAAUGUUAGAUAACAUAACUAAGUAUCUUCACAGUAAGAUAGGAUGACAUGGUUUACAUGAUCUUAAUGUUGUUCACUCGAGUGAUGAUAUUAUAAGGAAAAGCGUAAUAUCACAGGAUAUUUAUGUUUAGUAACCAGUAAUUCAGAGAUUGGUAUUCAUGGUUACUAUAACGAGGCUGUAGAAACGCACCCUUUCUUCUUUGCAAAUGGUCCUGUAUUUAUGUCUAAGCCGAAACUGGAACCUCUGAAUAAUUUAGAUUUAUUCUUGUUAUUUUCUAAAAUACUUAUCUACAGUAUACCAUAAGGAAUGAUACCGUAUCGCACCUAAUCAAGUGCCUUAAGAAACAUCAACAGGA